Molecule: ribosomal RNA, 1333 nt
Filed under: uncultured bacterium
Lineage: Bacteria
Description: bacterial SSU rRNA
Rfam family: Bacterial small subunit ribosomal RNA
Source: RNAcentral
GCGAACAGACGAGGAGCUUGCUCCUCUGACGUUAGCGGCGGACGGGUGAGUAACACGUGGAUAACCUACCUAUAAGACUGGGAUAACUUCGGGAAACCGGAGCUAAUACCGGAUAAUAUAUUGAACCGCAUGGUUCAAUAGUGAAAGACGGUUUUGCUGUCACUUAUAGAUGGAUCCGCGCCGCAUUAGCUAGUUGGUAAGGUAACGGCUUACCAAGGCAACGAUGCGUAGCCGACCUGAGAGGGUGAUCGGCCACACUGGAACUGAGACACGGUCCAGACUCCUACGGGAGGCAGCAGUAGGGAAUCUUCCGCAAUGGGCGAAAGCCUGACGGAGCAACGCCGCGUGAGUGAUGAAGGUCUUCGGAUCGUAAAACUCUGUUAUUAGGGAAGAACAAAUGUGUAAGUAACUAUGCACGUCUUGACGGUACCUAAUCAGAAAGCCACGGCUAACUACGUGCCAGCAGCCGCGGUAAUACGUAGGUGGCAAGCGUUAUCCGGAAUUAUUGGGCGUAAAGCGCGCGUAGGCGGUUUUUUUAAGUCUGAUGUGAAAGCCCACGGCUCAACCGUGGAGGGUCAUUGGAAACUGGAAAACUUGAGUGCAGAAGAGGAAAGUGGAAUUCCAUGUGUAGCGGUGAAAUGCGCAGAGAUAUGGAGGAACACCAGUGGCGAAGGCGACUUUCUGGUCUGUAACUGACGCUGAUGUGCGAAAGCGUGGGGAUCAAACAGGAUUAGAUACCCUGGUAGUCCACGCCGUAAACGAUGAGUGCUAAGUGUUAGGGGGUUUCCGCCCCUUAGUGCUGCAGCUAACGCAUUAAGCACUCCGCCUGGGGAGUACGACCGCAAGGUUGAAACUCAAAGGAAUUGACGGGGACCCGCACAAGCGGUGGAGCAUGUGGUUUAAUUCGAAGCAACGCGAAGAACCUUACCAAAUCUUGACAUCCUCUGACCCCUCUAGAGAUAGAGUUUUCCCCUUCGGGGGACAGAGUGACAGGUGGUGCAUGGUUGUCGUCAGCUCGUGUCGUGAGAUGUUGGGUUAAGUCCCGCAACGAGCGCAACCCUUAAGCUUAGUUGCCAUCAUUAAGUUGGGCACUCUAAGUUGACUGCCGGUGACCAACCGGAGGAAGGUGGGGAUGACCUCAAAUCAUCAUGCCCCUUAUGAUUUGGGCUACACACGUGCUACAAUGGACAAUACCAAGGGCAGCGAAACCGCGAGGGCAAGCAAAUCCCAUAAAAGUGUUCUCAGUUUCGGAUUGUAAUCUGCCACUCGACUAUUUGAAGCUGGAAUCGCUAGUAAUUCUAGAACAACCUGGUACGGUGAAAACGUUCCCCGG